CAGUCGCCACGGUAAUACGUAGGUGGCAAGCGUUGUCCGGAAUUAUUGGGCGUAAAGGGCUCGCAGGCGGUUUCUUAAGUCUGAUGUGAAAGCCCCCGGCUCAACCGGGGAGGGUCAUUGGAAACUGGGAAACUUGAGUGCAGAAGAGGAGAGUGGAAUUCCACGUGUAGCGGUGAAAUGCGUAGAGAUGUGGAGGAACACCAGUGGCGAAGGCGACUCUCUGGUCUGUAACUGACGCUGAGGAGCGAAAGCGUGGGGAGCGAACAGGAUUAGAGACCCCCGUAGUCCCUGUCUCUUUACA
RNAcentral lists this ribosomal RNA (301 nucleotides) under uncultured bacterium. RNAcentral describes it as "partial 16S ribosomal RNA". It matches the Rfam family "Bacterial small subunit ribosomal RNA", at positions 509 to 808 of the family's 1533-position model. The record is from RNAcentral.